Molecule: ribosomal RNA, 695 nt
Filed under: uncultured bacterium
Lineage: Bacteria
Description: bacterial SSU rRNA
Rfam family: Bacterial small subunit ribosomal RNA
Source: RNAcentral
CUUGCUUCUCUUGAGAGCGGCGGACGGGUGAGUAAUGCCUAGGAAUCUGCCUGGUAGUGGGGGAUAACGUCCGGAAACGGACGCUAAUACCGCAUACGUCCUACGGGAGAAAGCAGGGGACCUUCGGGCCUUGCGCUAUCAGAUGAGCCUAGGUCGGAUUAGCUAGUUGGUGGGGUAAUGGCUCACCAAGGCGACGAUCCGUAACUGGUCUGAGAGGAUGAUCAGUCACACUGGAACUGAGACACGGUCCAGACUCCUACGGGAGGCAGCAGUGGGGAAUAUUGGACAAUGGGCGAAAGCCUGAUCCAGCCAUGCCGCGUGUGUGAAGAAGGUCUUCGGAUUGUAAAGCACUUUAAGUUGGGAGGAAGGGCAGUAAAUUAAUACUUUGCUGUUUUGACGUUACCGACAGAAUAAGCACCGGCUAACUCUGUGCCAGCAGCCGCGGUAAUACAGAGGGUGCAAGCGUUAAUCGGAAUUACUGGGCGUAAAGCGCGCGUAGGUGGUUCGUUAAGUUGGAUGUGAAAUCCCCGGGCUCAACCUGGGAACUGCAUUCAAAACUGACGAGCUAGAGUAUGGUAGAGGGUGGUGGAAUUUCCUGUGUAGCGGUGAAAUGCGUAGAUAUAGGAAGGAACACCAGUGGCGAAGGCGACCACCUGGACUGAUACUGACACUGAGGUGCGAAGCGUGGGGAGCAA